RNAcentral lists this ribosomal RNA (420 nucleotides) under uncultured bacterium. Its description in RNAcentral is "bacterial SSU rRNA". It matches the Rfam family "Bacterial small subunit ribosomal RNA", at positions 359 to 776 of the family's 1533-position model. The record is from RNAcentral.
GAAUAUUGGACAAUGGGCGCAAGCCUGAUCCAGCCAUCCCGCGUGAAGGAUUAAGGCCCUCUGGGUUGUAAACUUCUUUUUUUUGGGAAUAAAAACCGGAAUUCAUUUCGGCUUGAAGGUACCAGAAGAAUAAGCACCGGCUAACUCCGUGCCCGCAGCCGCGGUAAUACGGAGGGUGCAAGCGUUAUCCGGAUUCACUGGGUUUAAAGGGUGCGUAGGUGGCUUUGUAAGUCAGUGGUGAAAUCUCGGAGCUUAACUCCGAAACUGCCAUUGAUACUGCUUAGCUUGAAUCAGGUAGAGGUGGAUGGAAUAUUACAUGUAGCGGUGAAAUGCUUAGAUAUGUAAUAGAACACCGAUUGCGAAGGCAGUUCACUAUGCCUGCAUUGACACUGAGGCACGAAAGCGUGGGGAUCAAACAGG